RNAcentral lists this ribosomal RNA (402 nucleotides) under bacterium. RNAcentral describes it as "partial 16S ribosomal RNA". It matches the Rfam family "Bacterial small subunit ribosomal RNA", at positions 355 to 776 of the family's 1533-position model. The record is from RNAcentral.
UGGGGAAUUUUGCACAAUGGGGGAAACCCUGAUGCAGCGACGCCGCGUGAUUUAGAAGGCCUUCUGGUUGUAAAAAUCUUUUCUAUGGGAAGAAAAUGACAGUACCAUAGGAAUAAGGACCGGCUAAUUACGUGCCAGCAGCCGCGGUAAUACGUAAGGUCCGAGCGUUGUCCGGAAUCAUUGGGCGUAAAGGGUACGUAGGCGGGUAAGCAAGUUAGAAGUGAAAUCCUAUAGCUCAACUAUAGUAAGCUUUUAAAACUGCUCAUCUUGAGGUAUGGAAGGGAAAGUGGAAUUCCUUGUGUAGCGGUGAAAUGCGCAGAUAUUAGGAGGAAUACCGGUGGCGAAGGCGACUUUCUGGCCAUAACCUGACGCUGAGGUACGAAAGCGUGGGUAGCAAACAGG